RNAcentral lists this ribosomal RNA (497 nucleotides) under uncultured bacterium. RNAcentral describes it as "partial 16S ribosomal RNA". It matches the Rfam family "Bacterial small subunit ribosomal RNA", at positions 28 to 507 of the family's 1533-position model. The record is from RNAcentral.
GAUGAACGCUGGCGGCGUGCCUAAUACAUGCAAGUCGAGCGAACGGACGAGAAGCUUGCUUCUCUGAUGUUAGCGGCGGACGGGUGAGUAACACGUGGAUAACCUACCUAUAAGACUGGGAUAACUUCGGGAAACCGGAGCUAAUACCGGAUAAUAUUUUGAACCGCAUGGUUCAAAAGUGAAAGACGGUCUUGCUGUCACUUAUAGGUGGAUCCGCGCUGCAUUAGCUAGUUGGUAAGGUAACGGCUUACCAAGGCAACGAUGCAUAGCCGACCUGAGAGGGUGAUCGGCCACACUGGAACUGAGACACGGUCCAGACUCCUACGGGAGGCAGCAGUAGGGAAUCUUCCGCAAUGGGCGAAAGCCUGACGGAGCAAAGCCGAGUGAGUGAUGAAGGUCUUCGGAUCGUAAAACUCUGUUAUUAGGGAAGAACAUAUGUGUAAGUAACUGUGCACAUCUUGACGGUACCUAAUCAGAAAGCCACGGCUAACUACGUG